GCCCGCAUGGCUCAGUGGUAGAGCGCCAAUCUAGUAAAUUGGAGGUCGUCAGUUCGAUUCUGGCUGUGGGCA
RNAcentral lists this transfer RNA (72 nucleotides) under Thermothielavioides terrestris NRRL 8126. RNAcentral's name for it is "tRNA-Thr (AGT) (tRNA-Thr-AGT-2-1)". It matches the Rfam family "tRNA". From Rfam's summary of the family: Transfer RNA (tRNA) molecules are approximately 80 nucleotides in length. Their secondary structure includes four short double-helical elements and three loops (D, anti-codon, and T loops). The record is from RNAcentral. Lineage: Eukaryota; Fungi; Ascomycota; Sordariomycetes; Sordariales; Chaetomiaceae.